Molecule: ribosomal RNA, 1609 nt
Filed under: Salmonella enterica
Lineage: Bacteria; Pseudomonadati; Pseudomonadota; Gammaproteobacteria; Enterobacterales; Enterobacteriaceae
Description: partial 23S ribosomal RNA
Rfam family: Bacterial large subunit ribosomal RNA
Source: RNAcentral
ACCUGAAACCGUGUACGUACAAGCAGUGGGAGCACCCUUUGGGGUGUGACUGCGUACCUUUUGUAUAAUGGGUCAGCGACUUAUAUUCUGUAGCAAGGUUAACCGAAUAGGGGAGCCGGAGGGAAACCGAGUCUUAAUUGGGCGUUAAGUUGCAGGGUAUAGACCCGAAACCCGGUGAUCUAGCCAUGGGCAGGUUGAAGGUUGGGUAACACUAACUGGAGGACCGAACCGACUAAUGUUGAAAAAUUAGCGGAUGACCUGUGGCUGGGGGUGAAAGGCCAAUCAAACCGGGAGAUAGCUGGUUCUCCCCGAAAGCUAUUUAGGUAGCGCCUCGUGAAUUCAUCUCCGGGGGUAGAGCACUGUUUCGGCUAGGGGGCCAUCCCGGCUUACCAACCCGAUGCAAACUGCGAAUACCGGAGAAUGUUAUCACGGGAGACACACGGCGGGUGCUAACGUCCGUCGUGAAGAGGGAAACAACCCAGACCGCCAGCUAAGGUCCCAAAGUCAUAGUUAAGUGGGAAACGAUGUGGGAAGGCCCAGACAGCCAGGAUGUUGGCUUAGAAGCAGCCAUCAUUUAAAGAAAGCGUAAUAGCUCACUGGUCGAGUCGGCCUGCGCGGAAGAUGUAACGGGGCUAAACCAUGCACCGAAGCUGCGGCAGCGACACUGUGUGUUGUUGGGUAGGGGAGCGUUCUGUAAGCCUGUGAAGGUGUGUCGUGAGGCAUGCUGGAGGUAUCAGAAGUGCGAAUGCUGACAUAAGUAACGAUAAAGCGGGUGAAAAGCCCGCUCGCCGGAAGACCAAGGGUUCCUGUCCAACGUUAAUCGGGGCAGGGUGAGUCGACCCCUAAGGCGAGGCCGAAAGGCGUAGUCGAUGGGAAACGGGUUAAUAUUCCCGUACUUGGUGUUACUGCGAAGGGGGGACGGAGAAGGCUAUGUUGGCCGGGCGACGGUUGUCCCGGUUUAAGCGUGUAGGUGUGUGUUCCAGGUAAAUCCGGUUCACUUUAACACUGAGGCGUGACGACGAGGCACUACGGUGCUGAAGCAACAAAUGCCCUGCUUCCAGGAAAAGCCUCUAAGCAUCAGGUAACAUCAAAUCGUACCCCAAACCGACACAGGUGGUCAGGUAGAGAAUACCAAGGCGCUUGAGAGAACUCGGGUGAAGGAACUAGGCAAAAUGGUGCCGUAACUUCGGGAGAAGGCACGCUGACACGUAGGUGAAGUGAUUUACUCAUGGAGCUGAAGUCAGUCGAAGAUACCAGCUGGCUGCAACUGUUUAUUAAAAACACAGCACUGUGCAAACACGAAAGUGGACGUAUACGGUGUGACGCCUGCCCGGUGCCGGAAGGUUAAUUGAUGGGGUCAGCGCAAGCGAAGCUCCUGAUCGAAGCCCCGGUAAACGGCGGCCGUAACUAUAACGGUCCUAAGGUAGCGAAAUUCCUUGUCGGGUAAGUUCCGACCUGCACGAAUGGCGUAAUGAUGGCCAGGCUGUCUCCACCCGAGACUCAGUGAAAUUGAACUCGCUGUGAAGAUGCAGUGUACCCGCGGCAAGACGGAAAGACCCCGUGAACCUUUACUAUAGCUUGACACUGAACAUUGAGCCUUGAUGUGUAG